This 3204-nucleotide ribosomal RNA is filed under the name Triticum aestivum (bread wheat). RNAcentral describes it as "partial small subunit ribosomal RNA". Lineage: Eukaryota; Viridiplantae; Streptophyta; Magnoliopsida; Poales; Poaceae. The record is from RNAcentral.
AUGGGGAACUUCCUCGCGCGCUUCGGCGAAGAUGAGACUCCCGGCAGGCUCCCAAAAGAUGAGACACCAGCAGCCGGGCAGCCGCCGGGCCGGCAGGGCACCGGCCUGGUCGGUCAGCUCCACGUCUUCGACGGACCGCCGCCCCGCGUCGAUGGCGGUUGGCCUACCCUGGCCAACACCGGCAGCGCUGCAGGUGCUGCCUUUGCGCCCGGUCGCAUCACCCCCUCAGGCUCAGGCUCAGGCUCAGGCUCAGGCUCACGCUCACGCUUCCCUUCUUCCUCUGCCAUUGCGCCCGGUCGCAUCACCGCCUCAGGCUCCGGCUCCGCCGCCACACGCUCUCACUCUGCCUCCACCUCCGCCUCCACGGAAUUUCUUACAGUUGAGGAAAGGAAAUUGAAGGAUGUGGUGGAUUUCUGGUCUAGGAUGAAGAAAGGCAAGCAUAAGUUGGACACUUGGGAUCUUACCUAUCUGGAAUACAAAAUCUUCUCUUGGUCUCUAGAGGAUGUCCUCAACAAGGACCUGCUCAAGGAAAAGGUGAAGAAAAUACCCAAGACAUUCUCGUCGCUGGAGCAUUACUUGGAUUCGUUUGCUGACCCAUUGGUCGAGGAAGUACACGCGGACUUCCUCUCUUCGUUCGAGGGCUACCACCAAGCACCAUUCGUUCAGGUAACCAGGGUUCAGAAGCUCGACCAUGGCGAGAAGUCCCAGGCCUUCUUCUUCUGUUUCCUGGCUGCCCGGAGAACAUCGUACGCUCCCGUCAAGGACGACAUCGUCGCCGUCUCCUCCUCGAGGAAGGGCAAGCACCCGUUAUCCUACGUCCUGGGUUCGGUUUGCAAGAGCUGGGAAGACGACGAGGAUUUCCCUGCUGACUGCUUCAUCGUCAGGCUGUCGACGGCUGUUCCGCCCGUGGAUGUCGACGCUGGAACGAAUAGGCCCAUGGCGCCACUGUUCGUCUCCUUCCUCAUGAACACCAAGACGUACAAUCGCAUCUGGACGUGCCUUCAGCUGGGGAAGACGAGCGGUCGGAAGAGAGUGAGCGAUGCCGGUCUCGUGGAUGCCGUCUGGAGAUACAGCGCCUCAAAGGCAGUGGAAAAUGACUCCCGGUCCCAGUUAUCUCACCGGUCCCGUGCCACCGACGACCUUGGGCUCGACAGGUUCAGGCUUAACGAGUCGCAGCUGAAUGCAGUAGAGGACUCCGUUGCAGCAAUGGGGAGCCCUUCUCCUUCCCUGAAGCUGAUAUGGGGGCCUCCGGGGACUGGCAAAACCAAGACCAUCAGCACCAUACUCUGGGCGAUGCUGCUCAGGGGGCACCGGACGCUUACUUGUGCUCCGACCAACACCGCGGUGCUGGAGGUCGCGUCUCGAGUAGUCCAGCUUGUCCGGGAGUUCUCAAAUGGCGGCAGCGGCGGCUGCUUCCUGAGUGACAUCGUUCUGCUGGGAAACAAUGAGAAGAUGAAGGUAGAGGCCAGCCAUGAGCUCUCUGCGGUGUUCCUUGACUGUCGCGUCGAGCGGCUUUCCCAAUGCUUCUCGCCAAAUGGAGGCUGGGGGCACUGCUUGCGUUCGCUGACGGAUUUUCUUGCGGAGCCUGUGAGCAAAUACCAGCUGUACACCGAUAAAAUUACCAAGGACCGUGAGGAGGAGGAGAAGAAGAGGAACAUUUCAUCAAAUGUGCUAGAUAAGAAGAACAAAAAUGUUGCAAGAUGCAAUAAAGGGAAUGAUCAUGAAAAGGAUAGAUGCAAUAACCAAGGAGACGAGCAAGUGUUUGUUACCCUGUCAUUCAAGGAUUUUGUGAGAGCCACUCACAAGGAACUCGCUCACAACUUGUGCCACUGCAUCGAGGCAUUGCAGAAUGAUUUCCCAAGGGACCCUACGACGGCGCCGAAUUUCUGGUGCAUGUCCGAUGUGGUAGAAGUAACAAGAGUUCUCGGUGCGUUGCUAGACGCCGGUGCCGGCGACAGACACGAGGCAUGGGUGAGCGAUGUCGGCGAUGCCUGCAGCCCGUGCUCUGUGAGCAACGAUCCUCCAUGCAAGGAAUGCAGAUUCAGGAAAGCAAGGUCACUCUGUCUCGAACAACUGGAGUAUCUGCGCAACAAUCUGAAGCUCCCCGGCUACUGCGACAAGCGACCGAUUGAAAUCUACCUGCUCCAGAGAGCCAAGAGUAUCCUGUGCACUGUUUCCACUUCUUUCAGGCUGUAUAACGUACUGCCCACGGACAAUCAGAAACCUGUUGGCGGGCAAGGACAACGGCAACACAAAGAGCCCGAGAUCUUCCCCCCUCUGGAGUUGUUGGUCGUCGACGAAGCCGCACAGCUCAAGGAGUGUGAGGCCAUGAUCCCGCUGCAGCUGCCUUGUAUAAGGCACGCUGUUUUCAUCGGGGACGAGCGCCAGCUACCUGCUCUCGUCAAGAGCAAAAUAUCCGAGAACGCCGAUUUUGGAAGAAGCAUCUUCGAGAGGCUGAUCUCGCUAGGCUGCCGCAAGCACCUCCUGGACACCCAGUACAGGAUGCAUCCGGAGAUAAGCAGGUUCCCUGUGUGGAGGUUUUAUGACGGCAAGGUAGGUGACGGGGCCAACGUCGUCUCCAAGAGCCACCGGCGCCGGCUCUUGAGAGGCAACAUGUUUGGGCCGUACUCAUUCAUCAACGUGCAUGGGGGGCGCGAGAGCAGCGAGGAGCAUAGCCGGAGCCCCAAAAACACCAUCGAGAUCGCCGUCGUCUCGCUGAUAGUCGAGAGACUGUUCCGAGAGUCGGCUUCUUCGGGAACAAGGCUAUCCGUUGGCAUCCUGUCGCCGUACAACGCUCAGGUGAGGGCGUUCCAGGAGAAGCUGGAGAAACCAUACGGAAGCCGCGAUGGUUUCUCUCUCAAGAUAAAGUCCGUGGACGGGUUCCAGGGCGGGGAGGAAGAUGUCAUCAUCAUAUCCACGGUGAGGAGCAACGAGGAUGGCGCGGUCGGGUUCCUCAGGGACGCGAAGCGUACCAACGUGGCUCUCACAAGGGCCAAGCAUUGCUUGUGGGUGAUUGGCAACGCGGCGACUCUGUCCAAGAACAGGUCCGUCUGGCAGGACAUUGUGUACGACGCUCGGAGGCGACAGCGCUUUUUCCAUGCCGACAGGGACAAGGGUCUGUCGGACGCAAUGCAGGCGGCAGCUGUUGAGCUCGAUGCCGCUGAUAAUCUGCGCAAGAUGGGGUCCUUGCAGUGCGCGGCAUGA